RNAcentral lists this ribosomal RNA (382 nucleotides) under uncultured bacterium. RNAcentral's name for it is "bacterial SSU rRNA". It matches the Rfam family "Bacterial small subunit ribosomal RNA", at positions 60 to 487 of the family's 1533-position model. The record is from RNAcentral.
AGUCGAACGAAGUAGCAAUACUUAGUGGCAGACGGGUGAGUAACAUGUAGGUAUCUGCCCUUUGGCCUGGAAUAACACGAGGAAACUUGUGCUAAUACCGGAUAAGUCUUUACGGAGAAAGCUUUAUGCACCAUUGGAUGAGCCUGCACUUGAUUAGUUUGUUGGUGGGGUAAUGGCCUACCAAGACUGUGAUCAAUAGCUGAUUUGAGAGGAUGAUCAGCCACAUUGGGACUGAGACACGGCCCAAACUCCUACGGGAGGCAGCAGUGGGGAAUCUUGCACAAUGGAGGAAACUCUGAUGCAGCGAUGCCGCGUGAGUGAAGAAGGCCCUUGGGUUGUAAAGCUCUUUCGUCGGGGAAGAAAAUGACUGUACCCGAAUAAG